Molecule: ribosomal RNA, 468 nt
Filed under: uncultured bacterium
Lineage: Bacteria
Description: partial 16S ribosomal RNA
Rfam family: Bacterial small subunit ribosomal RNA
Source: RNAcentral
GACGAACGCUGGCGGCGUGCUUAACACAUGCAAGUCGAACGGAAAGGCCCUGCUUUUGUCGGGUGCUAGAGUCGCGAACGGGUGAAUAACACGUGAAUAACCUGCCCUUGACUUUGGGACAACUUCAGGAAACCGGGACUACCACAGGAUUGGUGCUCCUGCUGCUUGGUGGGGGUCGGACAGCUUCGGAGGUGGGGGAUGGACUCGCGGCUUAUCAGCUUGUUGGUUGGGGAGUGGCUUACCAGGCGUUCGACGGGUAGCCGGCCUGGGAGGGGGACCGGCCACAUUGGGACUGAGAUACGGCCCAGACGCCUACGGUAGGCAGCAGGGGGGAAUAUUGCACAGUGGGCGGAAGCCUGAUGCAGCAACGCCGCGUGCGGGAUGACGGCCUUCGGGUUGUAAACCGCUUUCGCCUGUGACGAAGCGUGAGUGACGGUAAUGGGUAAAGAAGCACCGGCUAACUACGUG